CUGGGGAAAAUUAAACAUCUCAAGGGCUCCCUCUGCUGAAAGAAGAAAGUGACUAUCCCAAGAGGAGCAGACCCCCCUGGUCUGUUGCUGCCCCUGUUACUGCUCCCUUGUUUUCCUUUACUCUCGGUCUCUCACUGUCGGAGAAAGAUUAAAGCUCAGGGGGUGAGUAGGAAACCCUACUGACUGCUUGAGGGUGAGGGAAACCUGCAGCUCACCUCUGCCUUCUUCCCAGACCCACAGCCCAAACGAAGAAGUGGGGCUGGGAGUAAGGGGGUGGGGGGCGAGGAAGAAAAGUCAGAGUAAAAUAGAUCCAUCUGACUCUGGUCUUACUUCAAUUGUCUGGACCCCGCUAUCAAACCGGAACGGGAGAAAGAGCCUAUCUGCUGCGGCUCUGAGUACUGUGAGAGCACUUUGAAGCCUCUGCGUGAGGAGGAGGAGGAAGAGGCAGCGGAGGCGUCUGUAACAGCAGCAACAGCAGCAGUAGCAGCAGCAGCGUGAGGGUGCGCGCACUCUGGGCUAGAGAGUGAGCGAACAGUGGAGCUGGGUGAGGGUUUACACGCCGCCCGCCCGCGGAAACAGCAGCAUCCACGCUCAACCUCCCUGCCCCUCCAACAACAGCACCGCCUCUCCCCUGCAGCGUCAGCCCGGGGACUCCCUUUUUCUCCUCCUUCUCUCCUCGUCUGGCCAGACCCGGGGCAGCGCAGAAUGCGCCCAGCUGCUGCGUUCUGAUCGCCCUCCCACAGCCGCCGCCGCCGCCGCCACCGCGAUGAUCUCUCCGGAGCAGCAGCAACAACAGCAGCAGCUGCAGCAGCAACAGCAGCCCAACCAUGUCGUGGCCACCAUCGAGAACCUGCCGGCAGACAGCAGUGGCAGCAGCGGCGGGAGUCUCUCUGCCUCGUCCGCCUCCAGCGUGCGCCAGAGGAUCAGGAAAAUGCUGAACAGGUCACUUGGCAGAAUUUCCAGAGGCAAGAGACUACUGGUGUACCACCCAUGCCUUUUUUCCUGGAAGAGUACAAGCAGGCCAUCUGGCAAAAACCAGAUUUCCCCUUUGAGUGGUCCAGUCCUGGAUACUGAGAUGCAGCCAUGCCCUGAAGGCAGAAAUUGAUGAGAUGAGACUUUGUUCAGAGUCUAGCUCCAGGAGAAACUGUUUCUUCCUGGUCUGCACCAUCUUUAAUAAGGAGGUGCAAGAAAAAAGUGGUUUUAUGUACAAAUAAGACCUUAUAGACUGUAACCAUUCUUUGUUAUCCUAUUUGAAAAAAGUUUAUUACAUUUAGUGGAAUAAACCACAAAUGUUCAAAAUCA
This 1302-nucleotide long non-coding RNA is filed under the name Monodelphis domestica (gray short-tailed opossum). RNAcentral describes it as "lncRNA (ENSMODG00000031561.2)". The record is from RNAcentral. Lineage: Eukaryota; Metazoa; Chordata; Mammalia; Didelphimorphia; Didelphidae.